Long non-coding RNA from Notothenia coriiceps (black rockcod), 399 nucleotides. RefSeq lists it as uncharacterized. The transcript has 2 exons. The record is from RefSeq and is a predicted model, not a curated record. Lineage: Eukaryota; Metazoa; Chordata; Actinopteri; Perciformes; Nototheniidae.
UGCUGGCUGUUUAAAUGCUGUUUGCUACAUGCAGGUGUGGCUGGAUGAAGAUGUUGAGCUCUAUGAUUUCGCAAAAGUCCGACCACUCAUCAAAAAGAAGCAAGUGAAGGUACCAGCUGGUCUGGCAGGAUACAAGCCAGGAGCAUUCAGCAAGUUCCUGUCCCUGUACCUGCACGGGGCUGUGUAGGACCAGGCAGGCCUGUAGGUGUGUGUGUGUGUUUGUAUGGACACACUCUUAGCAGUGAGUCAUAUGUCAAGUGUGUGUGUUUGUUUGUGUUGCCACAAAAAUCCUCCUUUCUCUUUCAAACAUUCAAUAAUCUGGUUCACAACAUUGUCUUUUUUUCACACUGACUCCAUCCCUCUGUGAGAGCUCAAUCAAUAAAACACUCUGAAUAUGUA